GUUGACCUUGACAGCACAGAGCUUGAGCCUGAGCCAGAACAACUUCUAACAGAAAGAUCCUCCCAAGAAAUGCCCGCUGCAGUGUAUGUGAACAUCAGCGUUCUGGUGGACUCCGUCUUAGAAGAGGGCCUGAAGAAGCUGAACAGAAGCGUACUUACGUACGUGGCAGUGUUCAUGAAUGGGGUGAAUCUAAAGUAUGUGCACUUUAAGAAGCCGAGGUUCCUGAUGAAACUUCGAGUAAUUCGAAUUCUCUC
Long non-coding RNA from Ornithodoros turicata, 254 nucleotides. RefSeq lists it as uncharacterized. The transcript is spliced from 3 exons. The record is from RefSeq and is a predicted model, not a curated record. NCBI's taxonomy places the organism in Eukaryota, Metazoa, Arthropoda, Arachnida, Ixodida, Argasidae.